This 432-nucleotide ribosomal RNA is filed under the name uncultured bacterium. RNAcentral describes it as "bacterial SSU rRNA". It matches the Rfam family "Bacterial small subunit ribosomal RNA", at positions 32 to 439 of the family's 1533-position model. The record is from RNAcentral.
AAUCAACGCUGGCGGCGUGCCUAACACAUGCAAGUCGAACGCGAAAGCCCCUUCGGGGUAAGGUAGAGUGGCGUCCGGGUGAGUAACACGUGGGUAAUCUACCUUCGGGUGGGGGAAGUAACUCAGGGAAACGUUGAGCUAAUACCGCAUAAUGCAGCGGCACCUAAUGGUGAUUAGUUGUUAAAGCGGGGGAGUCGCAAGACCUCGCGCCUGAAGAGGAGCCUGCGGCAGAUUAGCUAGNGGUGAGGUAAUGGCUCACCAAGGCUUCGAUCUGUAGCUGGUCUGAGGAGGACGGCCAGCCACACUGGCACUGACACACGGGCCAGACUCCUACGGGAGGCAGCAGUGGGGAAUUUUGGGCAAUGGGCGAAAAGCCUGACCCAGCAACGCCGCGUGAGGGAGGAAAUCCUUCGGGAUGUAAACCUCACAAGC